This is a long non-coding RNA of Ictalurus punctatus (channel catfish), 1614 nucleotides long. RefSeq lists it as uncharacterized. The transcript has 8 exons. Lineage: Eukaryota; Metazoa; Chordata; Actinopteri; Siluriformes; Ictaluridae. The record is from RefSeq and is a predicted model, not a curated record.
CAUGUCCGCAUAUAUACCGCGCGCCUCCCAGUACACAACGCGGAAGAGUAAUACUUUAAAGUUAGUUUAGAGUGUGGCGUAGUUAUAGUCACGGGCCAUGGUUAGAGUGAAUUCGCGCUGGAUUAUCCGCUUCCAGUCCCUCGUCAUAGUUCGUUUUGUUUAUCGACCCUGUUUUCCGUGACCACGACCUAGAUUCCUGACUUGCCCCGUGUAUGCCUGUUUGCCAGUCGCCUGACCUCUUGCAUGUUUAUGGAUUACGUUUUGGAUUUGUCUGCCUGUCUCUUUCAAAUAAACAACUGUUCAUCCUGCACUUGUAUCCGUCCUAUCUCUGCUCCGUCACGAUUCGUGACCGUGUCGGUCAGUUACGCAGGAGUCUCUAAGAUCGCGGCUGUGUUUCAGAGCGCUGUGUAAUUUUAGGCGAUUCGUCGAUUCUCGUUUUAAAGCACCGUUGAAGCUUUAUAUUUUAUUUUGGAGAAUACUUCAAAGAGGAGAUGGCCGUCUAACGUAACAGUGAUGCUGACAUUGUGUCUAUCCCGGACAUCGUAGACGAAAUCAAUCUUCUGAACAAGGCAAGCGGGUCGAACACAGAAGUCCCGCGAGUCAGGUUGGAAAACCCCGUGUUGGGCUUGUCAAAUCUUGUAAACAAGAUUGCUGCACCCGAGUUCAAAAAUAGUGCUGCGGUUUCUACUGAACGCGGUAUACCAACGAGCUCUGGAAAGGCCAAGCGUAGAACAGUCGCUCAGGUCCACAGCGCGGGUGUCGCGACGUCUAAACGUAAACGAUAGACAGACGUGUCUCCAGGGUAUAGUGUGGAUCCAGUAGUACAUCAGUGAGCAGCUUCACUCCUGAUGCUCCAGGGUCAUUCCCUCUGAGAUCCAGCUCUAUCAGGGUCACAGGGAAACCUGGAGCCUAUCUCAGGGACCAUCGGGCACAAGGCGGGGUACACCCUGGACAGGGUGCCAGUCCAUCGCAGUGUCUCCAGUGUACAGUGUGGAUCCAGUAGUACAUCAGUGAGCAGCUUCACUCCUGAUGCUCCAGGGUCGUUCCCUCUGAGAUCCAGCUCUAUCAGCUGAGUCAUCUCGGCUACUGGGAAGUUCAUAUCUGGGUGGAGAUAUGGAGGAAGUGAGAAGAACUCGAGUGUCCUGCACAGAGCCCUGACCUCAACCGCACUGAACACCUUUAGGAUGACCUGGAACCCCAACUGCACCCCAGGCCUCCUCACCCAACAUCAGUGCCUGACCUCACUAAAGCUCUUGUAGCUGAAUGAACACAAAUCCACACAGCCACGCCCCAAAAUCUAGUGGAAUGCCUUCCCAGAAGAGUGGAGUGCAUUAUAACAGUAAAGGUGGAAACAUCUUGAAUGGGAUGUUCAACAAGCACAUAUGGCUGUGAUGGUCUGGUGUCCACAAACUUUUGGCAAUAUAGUGUAUGUGUGUUACUGAGUGUCAUUUCCUGAGUUCCUAGGUCCAUAGUGGUUCUUGGUUUCGACUCUCACCUGGUUCCCAUUUUUGUGUACGGAUGAUCCUUUUAUAAUGCUGCCUAACUGUGUACCUACCAUUGCUUCAGACUUUGACCAUGUUUUGGGGAUCACAAAUAAACACCAUGUUGAUUUUA